Solea senegalensis (Senegalese sole) is the source of this 107-nucleotide long non-coding RNA. RefSeq lists it as uncharacterized. Lineage: Eukaryota; Metazoa; Chordata; Actinopteri; Pleuronectiformes; Soleidae. The transcript is spliced from 2 exons. The record is from RefSeq and is a predicted model, not a curated record.
AGAAAAAGAAGAAGAAGAAGAAGAAGAAGAAGAAGUCCAGCUGUGACGACAGCUCCUCUUCUUCGUCGUCUUCAUCCUCCUCUUCCUCUGACAGUGAUGAUGACAAG